GGCCCCGUGGCGGAAUGGCAGACGCAGCGGACUUAAAAUCCGCAGGCCCGCAAGGGCCGUGUGAGUUCAACUCUCACCGGGGCCA
Molecule: transfer RNA, 85 nt
Filed under: Phycisphaerae bacterium
Lineage: Bacteria; Pseudomonadati; Planctomycetota; Phycisphaerae
Description: tRNA-Leu
Rfam family: tRNA
About the family: Transfer RNA (tRNA) molecules are approximately 80 nucleotides in length. Their secondary structure includes four short double-helical elements and three loops (D, anti-codon, and T loops).
Source: RNAcentral